CCUUCUUUUUCCCGCUUUUUCCGGAAUUAUUGGGCGUAAAGCGCGCGCAGGCGGUCCUUUAAGUCUGAUGUGAAAGCCCACGGCUCAACCGUGGAGGGUCAUUGGAAACUGGGGGACUUGAGUGCAGAAGAGGAGAGUGGAAUUCCACGUGUAGCGGUGAAAUGCGUAGAGAUGUGGAGGAACACCAGUGGCGAAGGCGACUUUCUGGUCUGUAACUGACGCUGAGGCGCGAAAGCGUGGGGAGCAAACAGGA
Molecule: ribosomal RNA, 253 nt
Filed under: uncultured prokaryote
Description: partial 16S ribosomal RNA
Rfam family: Bacterial small subunit ribosomal RNA
Source: RNAcentral